GACGAACGCUGGCGGCGUGCUUAACACAUGCAAGUCGAACGGAAAGGCCCUUUCGGGGGUACUCGAGUGGCGAACGGGUGAGUAACACGUGGGUGAUCUGCCCUGCACUUCGGGAUAAGCUUGGGAAACUGGGUCUAAUACCGGAUAGGACUCUUGGCUGCAUGGUUGGGAGUGGAAAGCUUUUGCGGUGUGGGAUGGGCCCGCGGCCUAUCAGCUUGUUGGUGGGGUGAUGGCCUACCAAGGCGACGACGGGUAGCCGGCCUGAGAGGGUGUCCGG
This 277-nucleotide ribosomal RNA is filed under the name uncultured bacterium. RNAcentral's name for it is "partial 16S ribosomal RNA". It matches the Rfam family "Bacterial small subunit ribosomal RNA", at positions 28 to 307 of the family's 1533-position model. The record is from RNAcentral.